This 561-nucleotide ribosomal RNA is filed under the name uncultured bacterium. RNAcentral describes it as "partial 16S ribosomal RNA". It matches the Rfam family "Bacterial small subunit ribosomal RNA", at positions 355 to 937 of the family's 1533-position model. The record is from RNAcentral.
UGGGGAAUAUUGCACAAUGGGCGAAAGCCUGAUGCAGCAACGCCGCGUGAGUGAUGAAGGCCUUCGGGUUGUAAAGCUCUGUCUUUUGGGACGAUAAUGACGGUACCAAAGGAGGAAGCCACGGCUAACUACGUGCCAGCAGCCGCGGUAAUACGUAGGUGGCAAGCGUUGUCCGGAUUUACUGGGCGUAAAGGAUGCGUAGGCGGAUUUUUAAGUGAGAUGUGAAAACCCUAAGCUUAACUUGGGGACUGCAUUUCAUACUGGAAAUCUAGAGUGCGGGAGAGGAGAAUGGAAUUCCUAGUGUAGCGGUGAAAUGCGUAGAGAUUAGGAAGAACACCAGUGGCGAAGGCGAUUCUCUGGACCGUAACUGACGCUGAGGCAUGAAAGCGUGGGUAGCAAACAGGAUUAGAUACCCUGGUAGUCCACGCCGUAAACGAUGAGUACUAGGUGUAGGAGGUAUCGACCCCUUCUGUGCCGCAGUUAACACAAUAAGUACUCCGCCUGGGAAGUACGAUCGCAAGAUUAAAACUCAAAGGAAUUGACGGGGUCAUAGCUGUUUCC